Molecule: long non-coding RNA, 498 nt
Organism: Zea mays
Lineage: Eukaryota; Viridiplantae; Streptophyta; Magnoliopsida; Poales; Poaceae
Exons: 2
Source: RefSeq, a predicted model, not a curated record
AUGGCAUCUCAAAUUUUGCAAGAGAUAUAUGAACCUUGCACUUUGUAUCUCUAAAUAUAUGUUGAGCGAAACUCUGGACUAUUGGAGGAAAGCAAAACACCAUGUUGUGAUUUUCACGUGUAGAAUUGAGUGCAUCUCAAGUAACAUGAGGAUGAAAAAUGUGUUGCCGCUGCCGGAGUACUUUAACCUGGUAGAUACGGAGACGACGCUCAAGAUGAUCGAACGUUCCCGAUGAGGAGUCAUGGCACCUGGAUGAGCGCCUCAUCGAUGUCGUUGUUGGUCACUCAUUCCUCCUCUAACACGGUGACUGCACGAAGAGCUUCAAGGAGUUUGACAACGACAAUAUUUGUGGCACUGUCUACGUUCUCAUGUAGAUGUUCGUCGUGCUCACCUUCGGCACCCAAAUGCCCAUGGAUCGUGAUCAAGUAAUCCCAUUGUGAAACCCAAUUUUACAAAAAAUGUAUAAAUUAAUUAAUAAAAAUGCAUUGCAUUUAUGUU